RNAcentral lists this microRNA (21 nucleotides) under Scyliorhinus torazame (cloudy catshark). RNAcentral describes it as "Sto-Mir-34-P3a_3p* (star (passenger))". The record is from RNAcentral. Lineage: Eukaryota; Metazoa; Chordata; Chondrichthyes; Carcharhiniformes; Scyliorhinidae.
AGCUGCUAGCUACACUCCACA